UAUUUUUUAUUUAUAUAUAUAUUAGUAUGCAUACUAUGUUAGGAUAUUUUCAAAGAUUUUGAUAAAUAGAAACAAAGUGUUUAAGGUGUAGUUUUUUUUUUUGUUACAAAAAUAAUUUUACUACUCUUAGUGUUGAUACAUCGAACUUUGUGAUAUCUGUUUUUAAUUUUUAUAUUAGAAAAUUAUAUAUUGUUUUUUUUUUUUCGUAGUUUUAAUAAUUUGAAGUUUUUUUGUUUUAAGUUUUAUAACUUUACUACUUUUUUUUUUUUUUUUUUUUUUUAACUAUAAUUCUUUAUAGUUUUUAUUAUCUAACAAUUAGUAAAUUAAUAAAUUAUGUUUUUCUUUUUAAUAUAAAUGAAUUACUAGUUAUCUGGUCAAAUGUUUAUUAAAGACUUAGGAUUUAUAUUAAAUCUGUCUUCUGCCCUAUGGUUUUUUUCCAAUGGCAGUCUUAGCGUGAAAUCACUAGUGAAUUCGCGGCCGCCUGCAGGUCGACCAUAUGGGAGAGCUCCCCGAGUAUGAAUGAAGUUUUGGCUGGUGAUAUUUUUUUUUUUUUUUGAAUUUAAUAUACAUCUAAAAAGAAAUGUUUAUAAUAAAACAAAGAUAAGUCUUCGGAAAUUUUAUUUCUAUUAAAAAUUUUUUUUUUUAGUAAUUUAUCUAGGGAAGAUUAUUAUAUAAUUUUUUUUUACUAUUUUUAAUUUAAAAAAUUACUCCGGAGUUAACAGAAAAACAUGCCUUAUGUAGUUCUUAUAUUUUGGUAAGUUUUACAUCGAUGUUGUAUCUUUAUUAGCUGAAGAGGAGAAAUUUCAGUUUUUUAGACUGUUCUUCUAUUAAUAAAUAAAACGUGAUAUUAGUUUAAUUCAUCGCGAGAUAGAAUUGUUUAUCUUGUUUAUUAUUUUUUUUUAUCGGGAUUAGUACGAAAGGAAUUUCACUAUAAUUUUAAAUUUUUUGAU
RNAcentral lists this ribosomal RNA (950 nucleotides) under Strongyloides stercoralis. Its description in RNAcentral is "large subunit ribosomal RNA". Lineage: Eukaryota; Metazoa; Nematoda; Chromadorea; Rhabditida; Strongyloididae. The record is from RNAcentral.